GGAUGUGAGGGCAAUCUGACAGUGACAUGUGUCACCCCAUUGAUUGCCAGGGUUGAUUCAGCUGAUUUGGCUGGCUAGGUGAAUGUCCCCUUCCUCUCUCAUCACUCCAUGUAUACCCCUCCCAAAGCUGCACAUUUGGUCAAAGAGGACCACCAUCCAUGAUAGAGGACUAUUCUUCGGUCAAGGGUAUAUGAGUAGCUGCACUCCUCUGCUAGAACCUCCAAACAAGCUCUCAAAAAGGCACUCUGGAGAAACUGAAGCAGGGAAAAACUGCCGUGAGAGUUUGUCCAGGAAAGAGUUGAUGCCUU
Molecule: small nuclear RNA, 308 nt
Filed under: Castor canadensis (American beaver)
Lineage: Eukaryota; Metazoa; Chordata; Mammalia; Rodentia; Castoridae
Description: 7SK RNA (ENSCCNG00000023321.1)
Rfam family: 7SK RNA
About the family: 7SK was discovered as an abundant small nuclear RNA in the mid-70s but a possible function has only recently been suggested. Two independent studies have found that 7SK RNA binds the CDK9/cyclin T complex (known as elongation factor P-TEFb). P-TEFb activates transcription by phosphorylating the C-terminal domain of RNA polymerase II.
Source: Rfam by way of RNAcentral